UGUCCAGUAGCACCUUAGAGACCAACUAAGUUUGUUCUGGUAUAAGCCUUCAUGUGCCUGCACACUUCUUCAGAUUCUGUGCAUGCACACGAAAGCUUAUACCAGAACAAACUUAGUUGGUCUAUAAGGUGCUACUGGACA
Non-coding RNA from Podarcis lilfordi (Lilford's wall lizard), 141 nucleotides. Lineage: Eukaryota; Metazoa; Chordata; Lepidosauria; Squamata; Lacertidae. The record is from the annotation of a GenBank genome assembly.